This 378-nucleotide unclassified non-coding RNA is filed under the name Hevea brasiliensis (rubber tree). The record is from RNAcentral. Lineage: Eukaryota; Viridiplantae; Streptophyta; Magnoliopsida; Malpighiales; Euphorbiaceae.
GGAAAACGAGUAAAUGGAUUGCAGUACGUAGGAAAGCAGGGAGACAAUCCAGGCUACUACGGGGAAUUAGGGUAUGGGUAGUAGGCGGUAUAGGACAUGACCGCUAGCUGGUGGUACACAUACAACAUACAACACGGUGAGUGGUAAACGUAGGGGAGUGACUGAGGCGUCUAGGACGGAAUGAGAAGGUCUUCUUUGUCCAUAUAACGGGGUGCCGAUCCAGGGAUUCUUGGAAAUAGCAAUGUUCUAGUGGGGGACAUUCAACGACGACUCUGUCCCUGUGAUUGUAGAUACCGGUCGAUCUUUUGACGCCACUUGAAGUAGAUCCCAUCUGUCGGGGUCGGAUUAAAUUGACAGAGGCCGAAUAGAACGAGUUGU